CCGAAUUUCUGGUUCAAGAGAGAGAGAAAGAGUGAGCUACAUAAUCUUGUUUUCUUACUCUAGCAAACCAAGAACAACAAUCAAGAGAGAAAAAUCUGAAUUAGUGAGAGAGUUCCUACAACUCCAAGUGUUUGAUCCAAGCUUGAAGACUUACUUUGGUGAAGUGAUUUUGGUGAUUCAAGCUCACUAUAAGAGAGGUAUAUGUUCUUUAAAUCUUGGUUUUUGAUGAUAGAUCAUGCACUUGAAAGUGUUAAUAGCAAGGAUACAAGUUGUUUGGUUGAGAUGUUGAGUUAGUUUCUUGAAGUAAACAAGUAGUAGCUAGGUUUCUUAGUAUGUACACCAAGUGUUUGAUGAAAUGUUUGAUUCUUAUUCAUGUUUGUUUAUGAGGUAUUAUUAUGUUUAAAUCUCUUUUGAGUUGAAUCUAUUACUUGAUAUGAAGAUUUGGGUGAAAAACAUGUAAGGAUGAAGGAUUGAACAAAUGUUGAAAAGUGUGGGCUGGUUGCUUGUCUUGGCUGGCUGGUUCUUGUAGGAGGGAUUUUCCCUCAAUAUUGUUGUUAAAUUAUGUCCUAAUCAAGCCUAAUAAACUAGGUUAACUAUUGGUUAGGCCUAUAAGCAUGUUGGAAUGAAAUUGAAGCAAGUAAAGUGGUGCUUUUGAACCAUUAGUAGACUGUUUAGGACUCUUGUAGUUAUGAGAUCAUUAUGAUUACCUUAAAUAAUGUUGUAUGUUAUGUUGUGAACUCCAUUGAUGCUAAGUGACUUGAAUCCUUGUAUAUGAUCACUUGAGGAGUGAAUUGGGUGAAUUUGGAGUAAAACUAAUGAAGUUAGCCCUAGAACUAGAAUAGUUUAGCUUACGGUUAAUGCUGAUCCAGGGUUGGAAAAACAGCCACCUUGUCUGAGUUACUGUUGCUGAUAGGAGACGAACCACAGUGUGACCUUGGUACCGUUGGAAAGCCCUUCGAGUCUAGUUUCCAACGCCACUGACGGCACCUAAUUUUGACUUUUCUACAAUGAGUUAUGACCAUUUUCCUAAGACUGCCAGGGCAAGACUGUGCAACCCGAGAAGAAACCCUUAAGCCCGAUUGGAACUUUUCUUUUGCCGAACUUUCAUGCAUCUAUUAAACUUGUUUUCUCAUUAACUUUUACCAUGGAUUGGGCCUUGUUUGCAUGAUGGAUUAAGUAGCUUAGACUACUCACUUGGUCUCUUAUUGAGCCUAACCUAGUGGGACAUGAAUCUAAGUGUUAACGAUUUCACUCGUUGCUCUAGGUUUGGGAAACGAAGGUGACCAUUACUAAGACGAUUGACAUCGAUCGCUACUUUUGAUUGACAGGUGAGUGUUCCACUACCUGCUACCUGCUUAUGUGAAAUACCUGAAUAUUUGAUUUACGACUGUUUGAGCCAAACCCUAAUUUGAUAAAAGUGGAGGCGAUCGUGUACUUUAUCGCACUCGUCCUCCUUUAUUUCCACUGAGGCCCUGUAUAUUGUUAUUGUGAAAUGUGAAUUCUCUAUAUGUGACUGUGCUUGAGUUGUUUGGGUGAUAUCCCAUCAACUACUACUACUGUUUGGGUGCCCAACCUCAUAGGUGAGUUGGUUCUAUCGAGUCGGCCAGGGCUUGGUCGAGAAGGCCGAUAAACCUUGAGGACUGUUUACUGUUCACUGAAACCGGUAUACUCGAGUAUUACC
This 1681-nucleotide long non-coding RNA is filed under the name Coffea arabica (coffee). RNAcentral's name for it is "long non-coding RNA (CARA_LNC008191)". Lineage: Eukaryota; Viridiplantae; Streptophyta; Magnoliopsida; Gentianales; Rubiaceae. The record is from RNAcentral.